GUUCAAGGGCGACUCGGGAGCAACGACCCUUCGACAUAUCAGUGAGUGGGCUUUUGAUUUUCAGUAUAUAUAUAUAUAUAUAUAUAUACACUUGAUAUCCAAAAAAUAUGUGUUUAAAUGAAAGUAUGCCUUAAAUGCCAUGCAUAUGAAUUUAUAUUUCGUAUAUGAAUUGAUAUAUGAUGCAUUAUAUAUAUAAUUGUGGUGCUGUGGACGCUCAGGUAAGCUCAGGUGAGUUAUGUUUGGUUAUGUGAAUUAUCAAUGGUGCGAUAUGUGAUUAAAUAAUGUUGAGAUUAUAAAACUGCACCUAGGGUGAUUGUGAUUUAGUCAGAGAUAUGACACAUGCCUGUUUAUUAUGUCACCUCCCGCACCAUAUGCUCAUAUUGGAUCCAAUUUAGGUGCAUAGUCAUGUAGUAUAGACCAUCUUAGGUGGUUCCAACUCGUAGGUGACUAGCGAUUUAUCGCCCAGCUAUUAUGUGUGAGCAGCAUUGAGCAUGAUUAUAUUGCACCCAUUAUUGUCGUACAGACCUUUUCAUUUGGUUCUGACUCUUAUGCAGUAUAGUGUCGUAUAUGUCAUUGUAGUGACUCCGGCUAGAUUGACUUUGAGCUAUGAAUUCAGCUGUAUAGACUACCACAGGGGCUCUGGCUAACAUGUUAUAUUUAUAUGAAAUUAUUCUUACCUGAACUGCUUACUCUAUUAUAUCUUGGCAUGGCAUACAUAUGAACAUGAUUAUGUGAAGCAUGAUUUGAAUUGAUAUAAUUACAUAUAUAUUUAUGUAUAUGUGUAUAUCUUGAUUCUGAGAAAAAUUAUACAUGCUUUAUAGCGAGGGGUUAGAUAUGUUGAUAAAUGAAAUGGUUUUGUAAAACAUUUGUUUUUGCCCACUCACGUUUUCUGUUUUGCGCCCCUCUAGGUUUUAGAUAAGCUUGUUGUUACUCGGUUCAAGGACUUCGGCGGUUCUGACAUAUCUAAAUAAUAGUAGGAUAUUCCUGGUACUGUAUAAUUAGUACUUGUCUUACUGGACUGCACCUAGACUUAUUAUACUCUGAUUAGGAGUAUUUACUUUUGCAACUAACUUC
RNAcentral lists this long non-coding RNA (1074 nucleotides) under Malus domestica (apple). Its description in RNAcentral is "long non-coding RNA (MDOM_LNC002580)". The record is from RNAcentral. Lineage: Eukaryota; Viridiplantae; Streptophyta; Magnoliopsida; Rosales; Rosaceae.